AAGUCGUAACAAGGUUUCCGUAGGUGAACCUGCGGAAGGAUCAUUAAAAAAAAAUUUAAUGAAUGUCGGGGGGGGGGUUUUCUGCCUCCCGAGUAUUCAACCAACCCCGCUCGUGUAUUUGUACCAAACAAACAAAAUUUUUUAAAAUUAAUAAAAUAAUUAAUAAAAAAAAACUUUCAACAACGGAUCUCUUGGCUCUC
This 200-nucleotide unclassified non-coding RNA is filed under the name Paraglomus occultum. RNAcentral describes it as "partial internal transcribed spacer region". The stretch from base 1 to 46 matches the Rfam family "Eukaryotic small subunit ribosomal RNA", at positions 1786 to 1831 of the family's 1831-position model. The record is from RNAcentral. Lineage: Eukaryota; Fungi; Glomeromycota; Glomeromycetes; Paraglomerales; Paraglomeraceae.